This 500-nucleotide ribosomal RNA is filed under the name uncultured bacterium. RNAcentral describes it as "partial 16S ribosomal RNA". It matches the Rfam family "Bacterial small subunit ribosomal RNA", at positions 30 to 523 of the family's 1533-position model. The record is from RNAcentral.
AUUGAACGCUGGCGGCAUGCCUUACACAUGCAAGUCGAACGGCAGCACGGGAGCAAUCCUGGUGGCGAGUGGCGAACGGGUGAGUAAAGUAUCGGAACGUGCCCAGUCGUGGGGGAGAACGUAGCGAAAGUUACGCUAAUACCGCAUACGAUCUAUGGAUGAAAGCAGGGGAUCGCAAGACCUCGCGCGAGUGGAGCGGCCGAUAUCAGAUUAGGUAGUUGGUGGGGUAAAGGCUCACCAAGCCGACGAUCUGUAGCUGGUCUGAGAGGACGACCAGCCACACUGGGACUGAGACACGGCCCAGACUCCUACGGGAGGCAGCAGUGGGGAAUUUUGGACAAUGGGCGAAAGCCUGAUCCAGCCAUGCCGCGUGCAGGAUGAAGGCCUUCGGGUUGUAACCUGCUUUUGUACGGAACGAAAAGGUUUGGCCUAAUAAGCUGAGCUCAUGACGGUACCGUAAGAAUAAGCACCGGCUAACUACGUGCCAGCCGCCGCGGUAA